Homalodisca vitripennis (glassy-winged sharpshooter) is the source of this 1726-nucleotide RNA transcript. RefSeq lists it as uncharacterized. The record is from RefSeq and is a predicted model, not a curated record. Lineage: Eukaryota; Metazoa; Arthropoda; Insecta; Hemiptera; Cicadellidae. The transcript has 9 exons.
CUUGCUUAUACAGAUAAAUCUCGCAUCAUGCUAUUGGCACAACUGCAAUUUGGAAAAGGAUAUUUUUCGCUAAAUGACUGGUAUCACCAUGUUUCAGGAUCAAAAACAGAAUCUUCAGAUGCCUCACUUCCCAGAAGUAAUGGAUUUGUGGCAGUGAUGGCAAAAGUUGUCACCCACCAUAGGGAGAAAGAGGUAGUAUUUACCUUAAUCUACUUCCCUAAUGCAUCAACCAUUGGAAGUAAAAAGACCAACAAUUACUGCAGAAGGAAAAGGAUGGCACUGAUCUUAAGAUGUGACAGCAACACCUAUCAUACCUUCUGGCGAAGUUUCAAUACAAAUAUAGCCAUGAAGCCCUGUGCUACAUCUCAUGACUGCGUGGCUCUUUAUCGCAAUUCCGAGAAUACCUGGACUUGUCGUAACUCUGUCUGCGUCUGCUAUCCUGAUCCUUGUGCUAGGAUACUGAUGGCUGGCACUAUUGUCAUGAAGCAAUGCUGGAGUGAUGACGACUGUGACAGGAAUGAGUUCUGUAGCACCAGAAAUAAUGCCUGCGCUUGUAAAAGCGGCUACGAGUACGACCACAACAGACAGUGCUUAAGUUUGGAUGAGCAUCACUCUUUCUUUGGGUCAAAAUUUGAUCCCCCUCGUGACAUGAUAGUUCCUGGCUUAUUCAUUCUGGGCACAGCAACAUCAAUAUAUUUUGGCUUCAAACUCUACUGCAAUGAUCGCUGGAGGAUUUGGAGGAUGCGGAGAAGGCCACUGUUCAGAGGCCGAGACAUAGAAGCUGCAAUCCCUCCCACUACAUGGGUGGCUUCUUACAGAGUUGUAGAUGCCCGGACGAGCCCGCUGUACCCACCCUGCUUGCUGCUGCCCAUGGGUCCGCCACCGUACGAGGAGGCUCUCAAACACAAGGUGAUCCUGAGCAGUUACCAUCCACAGAUCCACCCCGACUCUCUGCCCCAAGUACCACUCUGAUCCUCAUCCGCUGACCAGGUGACUCUGUAGAUACUGCUCUGGGGGCUUGUAUAUACCUGCUUCAGCUACUGUGGAUAUUUAUCCAAGAUAUCAUGUAGUUUUUAUUUCAAGACCACUAGAAUACCAAGCAGGAGUCAUGUACCACAAUGAAGUGAUCUUUGAAGUCUUGCAACUUAUCGAGCACCCACCUGAUGCCUGAAAUAUAGUUAUCUUAGUCUACAGCUUUGUCAAUUUCAUAUUUUGCCAAUUUUAUUUUUUUCAUGGUUUAGAGAAAUUAAAUAUCGUUAGUACAAGCCAAUUGUUAAAAAACUGAAAAAUUGUACAUACAAUAUGCUUAUAACUAAUGUUAGUUAGUACAGAUAAAAUAUAUUUUCCUGUAUAAGCUCCAAAUAUAUUCUGUACAGUAUUUUAGACUUUAAUUUUGUACUGGUAGACAUUAAGUUUGUCCUUUUCAUUUUAUAAGUAAGAGAACUUGGUUUUGUAAUACAGAUUAGUCGCAGGGAUCAACUAAAUAUUGAUAUUAGUGUACCUUUGGAAAUGUGAUUGUACAUAGCUGAUUUAGUGAGACACAGAAAUGUGGUUAGAGGUUAUAGAAUAAUUAAGACACUAUUAUUACUUAAAACAAUAUUUUAUUCUAACAAAUUGUUGUAAAUAUUCCUUGUUACACUUUCCAAGGUUUACUUAUGUUAAGAAACCAUUAAUAUUAAUAAAUCUGGAUUUUUGUAUUUUAAAUAAAUGUUCUAUUUACAGUAAA